Heterocephalus glaber (naked mole-rat) is the source of this 72-nucleotide non-coding RNA. Lineage: Eukaryota; Metazoa; Chordata; Mammalia; Rodentia; Bathyergidae. The record is from Rfam.
GGAAGUGUAGCUCAAUGGUAGAGCAUUUGCUUUGCAUGUAUGAGGUGCUGGGUUUGGUUCCUAGCACUACAA